GUCAUCAAAUGAUGAGUAAAUUCAUCAAUCUUAGGACACCUUUGGACACAGCCUUCGCGGUUGUGAAUGAAAACAACCUUUAUUCUGAUGAUGAU
Small nucleolar RNA from Andrographis paniculata, 95 nucleotides. RefSeq annotates it as small nucleolar RNA snoR31/Z110/Z27. Lineage: Eukaryota; Viridiplantae; Streptophyta; Magnoliopsida; Lamiales; Acanthaceae. The transcript has a single exon. The record is from RefSeq and is a predicted model, not a curated record.